AGCGCCCUGCGCUGUUGGUGCGAACCCUUUUCGUUUUGAGCCAACACCCAAAACGAGGGAGCCUGUGUCUCGGUCGCGUGCGAAUGCCCGUUACGGGACUCUGCAUUCGGUUGAGCAGGGCACCCACCUGCGAGAGCAGGUUCAAAACUAUGGGUUUCACGGCAUGGGCGGGGCAUUG
This 178-nucleotide non-coding RNA is filed under the name Alicyclobacillus sp. SO9. RNAcentral describes it as "6S / SsrS RNA". It matches the Rfam family "6S / SsrS RNA". Rfam says of the family: E. coli 6S RNA was the first non coding RNA to be sequenced, but its function was unknown until recently. The record is from Rfam by way of RNAcentral. Lineage: Bacteria; Bacillati; Bacillota; Bacilli; Caryophanales; Alicyclobacillaceae.